This 9171-nucleotide long non-coding RNA is filed under the name Hordeum vulgare. RNAcentral's name for it is "long non-coding RNA (HVUL_LNC011938)". The record is from RNAcentral. Lineage: Eukaryota; Viridiplantae; Streptophyta; Magnoliopsida; Poales; Poaceae.
GGGCUAUUAGCAGGAGCAGGAAUGGCAGUUGUUGUGGUAGGCGCAGGUCCGGCGGUGGAUUGAUCCUGGGACGCAGCAGCUGUUGUAACUUCAGUAGAAUACGCUGUAGGCUGCCCAUAACUACCAGUAGCAUAACAAUCACAGUAUGACUGCUACUGGCCAUAGCCUGGCUGACUGUAUCCAUACUGCACAUAACCAGCCUGAGUAGGCGGUGCCUGUCCAUACGGAGCAGAUGAAGGCGGCUUCUGAGCAUACGGAGGCUACCCAUAAGCACCCUGGCCAUACGUGCCCAGUGGUGGUGGCUGCAUAUCAUAGCCAGGCUGUGUCUGUGGAGCAACGUAUCCAUAUUGAGGGGCAAAACCUUGCGCCGUUUAGCUUGAUGCAGCAGCACUAGUAUAGGUGGUUGAUUAGGAUAACCCAGUUAGCCUCCAGUAGCUGGAGUUGAAGCUUGCUGCCCUGAAGAUGCUUGACCAGCUCCACCUGGACGAGUACCAUACCCUUGUGAAGCAUGAGUAGCAGGCUGGCUGUAACUGUACCUGCUAGCACCAGCAGGCACAACAGUUCCAGUGGCAGACUGUUGUUGUUGGGAUUGCUGCUGUUGGUUAUAGUAGUCAUAGCCAGUGCCAAGGGGAGCUGCUGUGCCAUAAGGUUGCUGGCCAUACUAUGGUGGUGCACCAGGAUAAGCUCCAGGCUGCAUGUAAACAUGCUGUUGUGUUGCUGGUGCAUCAGGCGCAGCCCAGUUUGCCCGAGGGCAGAGAGGAUGGUAGCCCUGUUGGAUUUCUGGCACGAUUCUGCAAAAAUAUAGUUUCACAUCAGAAUAGGUAUAGAACACAACAUACAAUGUACCAUGCAGAACAAGUGCAAACCAGACAAAACAUAUCCAAAGACAAAACAAUGUAAUAUACUGUAAUUUCAGAACCACCAAGAAAAAUGGAGGGAUCAACUCACGGAGCAAGAUUCUCAAGUAACAUUGGUGAUGCUCAUCUAGCGUCUACCAUGUGCAGAACUACGGGACCUAAUGAAGAUCAGGCAGCUAGAUAAACACAUGUAUAUAUUGAAUAGCAAUAAAAGAUUGCCUUGCAAGUUUGUAGAUGUUGAUAAAUCAGCAAUAAUGGAUGGUGACAAAGUGAUCCAUAAUUUUGUGCAACAUCCACUUAUAUUGCUAAAUGACAGAACAUACCCAACAGCAGUUCUUUCGGCAAGUCUCUCCAAAAAGUAUAUUAUAGGUGAACAGAAGAACGUCAAAGGAAAUAUUUAAGCAAAGUGUUAAGGACGCUUUUGGUCAUGUAACCUGAAGAGUCAACAGAGGGAGAAAAUAUAUACAAACAAACCAAAGAUAAUAGAUUCAUGUGAAAUAUGCAUAAUCUUUCCAAACUAUACAUAGCACAUACAAACUUUCUUGCCCAGUCAAUAAACUGUAACAUUCUUAUUUGUUACAUGUUGCUCCCAGAGGGUGGUGUUAGCAACAGAUAGAAUGGUCUGAAAAUUAAGCAUCAAGAAUUAUCCCCUGAGUAAGCAAAAAUAUCAAUAGCCUAAAUACCAGCUACUACAGUGCACGAUCCCUCGUUGAAGUGUGUAGACUGACUAGUUGAAUGCCCGUGCAUUGCCACGGGCAAAUAAAAUUAGACAUACAAAUAUCGAUUGAACAUCCCUGUAAUUUAGAAGGUAUAUAAAACUAUUGAAAUAUAUUUCAAUUCUUUUUUUAUUUUUUUUUCAUAUAGCACCUUGAAAGGGGCAAGGAAGAUUUUCUAAUUAAUUAGAAAAUUCAGUCAAAAAAUCAGAUACAAAGGGCACAACACGAGUUGUUGGAGUGAAAGACAAAAACAACCACACUAUUAAACACACAGGUGCUAAAUCUCCACCGAUCAGCAUACCAAAUCCAACAUAACCCGCCCACUAAGAGACAUAAGAAGGAGCCCGUCUCUUGAAAGAGAACAUAAUCACUUCACUUAGCACCUUAUUGCUGUCAGCGAGUUUGGGACGUCCCUACAAGCCUACACUGGGGACAAAGGACACACCUCAAGAACCAUACACCGUCUUAGUAUCAGUUACACNNNNNNNNNNNNNNNNNNNNNNNNNNNNNNNNNNNNNNNNNNNNNNNNNNNNNNNNNNNNNNNNNNNNNNNNNNNNNNNNNNNNNNNNNNNNNNNNNNNNCCCAGGACAUCAUCGUGUGACGGUGAUCUACACCAACACCUCUGUCAUCUUCACCAACACCUCCAUCACCUUCCCCCAUCUAUAUUCAGCGGUCCACUCUCCCGCAACCCGCUGUACCCUCUACUUGAACAUGGUGCUUUAUGCUUCAUAUUAUUAUCCAAUGAUGUGUUUCCAUCCUAUGAUGUCUGGGUAGAUUUUCGUUGUCCUGUCGGUGAUUGAUGAAUUGCUAUGAUUGGUUUAAUUUGCUUGUGGUUAUGUUGUUGUCCUUUGGUGCCCAUCAUAUGAGCGCGCGCGUGGAUCACACCAUAGGGUUAGUAGUAUGUUGAUAGGACUAUGUAUUGGAGGGCAAGAGUGACAGAAGCUUCAGCCUAGCAUAGAAAUUGAUGCAUACGGGAUUGAAGGGGGGCCAAUAUAUCUUAUUGCUAUGGUUGGGUUUUACCUUAAUGAACGUUAGUAGUUGCGGAUGCUUGCUAAUAGUUCCAAUCAUAAGUGCAUAGAAUUCCAAGUAAGGGAUGACAUGCUAGGAGUGGCCUCUCCCACAUAAAACUUGUUAUCGGUCUAGUAACGUAGUCAAUUGCUUAGGGACAAUUCCGCAACUCCUACCACCACUUUUCCACACUCGUUAAACUAAAGUAAUUGUUUCUUUAUCUAACCAGCCCCUAGUUUUUAUUUACUUAUUCUUUAUUUUCUUGCAAACCUAUCCUAUCACACCUACAAAGUACUUCUAGUUUCAUACUUGUUCUAGGUAAAGCGAACGUAAAGUGUGCGUAGAGUUGUAUCGGUGGUCGAUAGAACUUGAGGGAAUAUUUGUCCUACCUUUAGCUCCUCGUUGGGUUCGACACUCUUACUUAUCGAGAAAGGCUACAAUUGGUCCCCUAUACUUGUGGGUUAUCAAGCCUCAGAACAAAUUUUGAUCUGGUUAUAAAGGGUGUUACCCCCUCUUGCUAUAGGGAACAGUUCGGUUAGGGAUUGCUAAAGGUGUCUGCCUCUACAAAGUCAUGUGAGAAUCGAGAAUUAUUAUUAAUCUUUGUGCAGAGUUAAAAGUUGUGGCCCCCGCGAUGUUUCGGUAAUCGAGAAUUGGCCAAGGACGAAAUCAUCAUUUCUUGCUCGGAGGAAACAAAGGAACUUGCCUUGCAAACUGAACACUUUGGGCGUGAUCACCCAAAGACCCUACACAUCGGCAUUGAAGGCUAGUUCGGGGGCUACUGAGGGAGUCUGGGAUUAAGGGGUCCUCAGGUAGUCGGCUUACUAUGAAAAGGUCGGCCUCAUAGGCCGUGCUUGUGGGAGGUCGGGCUGUGCGGUCAUCUCGUGUUCAAGGAGGAAAGCACCGAAGACCAGCAUGAUGUCCAAGUAAAGUAGUCUAGGUCGGUUGUGUGUAACCCUAGGUCCCUCGAUGACUAUAUAAACCGGGGGUCCCCGUCCGUGUAGGCAGGUUGAUUCACCUAAGGUUUAGUAUACACAAUCUCGAGGUAGACUCUGUAAUCACUAACAUCAAUAUAAUCAAGCAGGGCAUAGGGUUUUACCUCCUCGAGAGGGCUCGAACCCGGGUAAACAUUGUCUCCCCCUCUUUCCUGCAACCCAUCGAUCUGAUGUCCACAGUUCGGGACCCCCUACACAAAAUCUCCCGGUUUUGACGCCGACACCUGCCUAACAUCAACAACUUACCUUAUCCUUUGUUUUUGUUCAUGCAACAACAAGGUUCCUGACUUAACAAGAAACAAAGCUUCAACAUUUAAUAAUACAAAAUAUGAACUUUUGCAACUUCUCCAUUUCUGAAAAAGCAUAUUAAUGUUCUCACAUGGAAACAAUAACACGAGAUAUUAAAAUAGUCCAUGUUAUGAACAAUGCAAAUUGGUCGAAGGGUAAAAUUAAAAUGAACAUGUAGGAUUUUUAAGUCUAGAAGGUAUGAAAAUCUAGAGAGCAACACACAACAUAGUACUUCACUGGAUGCACGACCACACAUAUUUACGAACUUAGCUAGUGAAUUGCAUGAUUAGAUUCGUCCAUGUAGGAUCCUAUUAAGUGUCAACAACCAUUGGGCUACUCACAUGUCUUGUGUUUUUCCAGAAUACAUGUAUGAUAGAACGAUGGAGAGCUACAUUUCGACCAAAUUAUUUCAAUGUCAAAAAUAAUGUGAACAAGUUUUUGUCCUUGCAAAUCGCAAGCACCUUACAAGAAACAUAUUGUUAGCUGGCCUACUCAAGCAAUGCAUCAAUUUUUCAGCAAGCUAAUCAACCAAGUAGCCCAAGUAGAUAGCAUUUCUCUACGGGUCAUCAUAGUUAACAAUGCUAAGACACUUUCAUGUUUAGAGUUCAUACCAACAACACAAAUUCCAUAUUCCAUUAUUUUAAUAUUCACAUGGGGGACAAAAUGGAGAACCACUAACANNNNNNNNNNNNNNNNNNNNNNNNNNNNNNNNNNNNNNNNNNNNNNNNNNNNNNNNNNNNNNNNNNNNNNNNNNNNNNNNNNNNNNNNNNNNNNNNNNNNCCCCCCUGCUCUUUGGUAUAAUGCUGAAAAUCAGUGCACUCUAAUUUAACUUACCAACAUGUAUGCUAUUUCAAAAUUUCUCUAAGUUUGGUGAAUUUCGGUCUGUGUUUCUAAGAUUCUCCAGGGUAUGUUGGUGUGUAUCGCAGGAAAUAGCAGUUUCGUAUUUCAUUAAUGCUCUGAUCAAAAUUAGGUGCAACCAAGAUGGGUUUCCCCAGUGGAUAGUAGAUUGCAAUUUCCUGGUAUCAUCUAGAAUGCUUUUGUUUAGAAUGUUCUGAUCUAGAGUAGUUCAAUAAUCUAUUUAAGAAGCUGGAGUUGAGGAAUUAUUGACCACAUUUGCAAAACUAGAUGAUUAUAUGUGUACGCUUAUGUUUUAGUUUUGUAAUAACAAUAUAUAUGGCAAGGCAAUGGGCUAUACCAGGUCGUCUGAGAUGUCUAUGAUAUGUAUAUAUCUGCAAAGAUAAAAGCGUGUAAGCUCUUCUUUUGCACGCAACUUACCGAGGCAAGAUCCGAUGUUUUUUGCUUUGCACUUAGUUUUUAAAUUCCUCUUUUUUGGUCGAGUUGGGCAUGGGUGCGGCGACUAUAUAAUGGAGUGUUAGUCGACUCCAUACAUUUGGUGGUCGUUAGUGACUUGGUUCAACCUGGUCAGCUUGUGUGUGGGACGGAUGGGACGAUUAUUAAUUAGGGUUUAGGGGACUAUUUGUGGAUUAGGCAUGUGGUCGACUUAGUGAUUGGAUUUGGCUGAGUUGGAUGUGCGUGUGUUGACUAUAUUGUGGGAUGGUAGGCGACUCUUGUAUGUGAGGUGGUCGUGGGCGAGUUAGUUCAAACCGGUCGGCUCAUUUUCUAGGAUGGGCGGGCGACUAUGUAUUGGGGUUUAGGAGACUUCAUCUUUGGAUUAGGCAUGUGGAAGACCUAGUGUAUUGGAUUUAUUCGUGUUGGGCGUGGAUGAUAGGUGACUCCGUCCGUACGGUGGUCAUGGGUGACUAAGUUCAACACGGUCUGCUUGGUUUGUGGGAUGGGUGGGGCGACUAUGAAUUGAGGUUUAGGCGACUUUGUCCGUGUAUUAGACAUGUGGGCGACUUAGUGUAUUAGAUUUGAUCAAGUUGGGCGUGGGUGGUAGGCGAUUCCUCAUGGGUGCAUUGGCCGUGGGCGGCUUAGUUCAACCCGGUCGGCUCAGUUUGUAGGAAGUGCAAGUCAACUAUGAAUUGGGGUUUAAGCAACUUCAUCUCUGGAUUAGCAUGUGGGCGACUUAGUGUAUUGGAUUUGGUCGAGUUGGGUGUGGGGUGUGGCGACUAUAUAAUGGGUUGGUAGUCGACUCCAUGCAUUUGGUGGUCGCGGGCGACUUGGUUUAACCCGGUUAGCUUGGUGUGUGGGACGGGCGUGACCACUAUUAAUUAGGGUUUAGGGGACUCCAUUAGUGGACUAAGCGUGUGGUCGACUUAGUGAUUGGAUUUGGCUGAGUUGGGCGUGGUUGUGGUGACUAUAUGGUGGGAUGGUAGGUGACUCCCAUGUGUAUGGUGGUCGUGGGCGUCUUAGUUCAACCUGGUUGGCUUGGUUUGUGGGAAGUGCGGGGCAACUAUGAAUCAGGAGUUUAGGCGACUCCAUCUAUGGAUUAGGCAUGUGGACAACCUAGUGUAGUGGAUUUGGUAGGGUUGGGUACGGAUGCAGUGACUACAUAAUGGGAUGAUAGACGACUUUGGCGUUCGGUGGCCAAACUAGCCCAAUAUUAAGCGAAAAAUGCCCGAGAGACAUCCUUCCUCCCUUUCCCGUCACCACUAUGGUCUCCCUAAACAACAUUAACACAUGGCCAAAAACUAGUGAAAAAGAUCCCGCAUCCACUAGCCGAAACCAUGGAGGUGACUCACCUUGUGAUAUCCAAGAUCUGAAUCCUUUUGCUCCAUAGUUUUUUUGUGCACACGGUCGACCAUCACGCCGUGCACGCAUUUGUUUCNNNNNNNNNNNNNNNNNNNNNNNNNNNNNNNNNNNNNNNNNNNNNNNNNNNNNNNNNNNNNNNNNNNNNNNNNNNNNNNNNNNNNNNNNNNNNNNNNNNNUAAACCAAAUCAAAUAUCAUUUUAUCCAUCAAUAUAAUAAUCAUCAUGCUGAUUUAUUAGACCUAAAAUCUCAUAAUCCAGCAAACAUAUUCGAUUAUCUUCAUAGGACACAAUCACCUAACUAAAUGCAACUAAAAUCUCAUAAAUCAAAGAGAAAUUUGGUUAAAGAUCACAAUCACCUAAGUAAAUCAAAAUUGUUUUAAACUAAAUUAAAUAUCUGUUUAUCCACGAUAUAAAAUCACCAUUCUCAUCUUCUAUACCUAAAAUCUCAUAGUCAAGCAAACAUCUUUGACUAUAUUCUCAAGACACAAUCAUCUAACUAAAUCCACAUUGCUUUAUGUUUAUUAAAGAUCCAUUUAUUCACCAAUAUAGUAACCACCAUGCUCAUUUACUAGACAUAAAUUUUAUAAUCCACCGAACAUCUUUGAAUAUCUCGUCAAGAUCACAAUCACCUAACUUAAUCUCCACUACAUCUUCAUUUCGUAAAACCUUAUUUUCAGAAUCAUCCCAUGGGCAUUAGUGACACCCUUUGGUUUCUGUAUAACUUUUAUGAGUAACAAAGAUUCUUCCCAAGUCUUAUGAUUUAUGCGAUUAGCAUGGCUAAGCGUUACUAUUAAACUUGCACAUAUGACCCAAAUUUAUCUGUCACCACUACAUGGUUAGGAGGGGUAUUAAGAAUGUCAAAGGAGGGUGUCAAUAUCAAGCACAUAAAGCAUAGCUAAACCCUAGCUAAUUUACUUAGCAUAAGAAUGUGAAAGGGGUGUCAAUAUCAAGCACAUAGGGCAUAGAUAAACCCUAGCUAAUUUACUUAACAUAGAAAUACUAGUAAUAAUACUUUAUGCAUGAAAAAUAAUUCUAGGUGUAAUGCAAAUAUGGGUUCAACAUGAUCAAAGUAAGUUGCUUGCCUUGCUCAACAAAGUCUUCAAUGGUUCUCGUCAUUCCUCGAGCGUCCUUGAAUCUUUCAAUGUUACGAAAGAUAAUGAUUUCUAUUGAUUGGAAAAAUAAAAUUAACACACAAUCAAUAAACAAUAUGUGCAAAAUGCUCGAAAAUUUACGAAAGUAGUAUCAUUGGAAAGAGGGAAAUUUUAGAUGAAUUUUGGAAGUACCCUGGAUUUUAGAAAAAGAGAAAUAGUAUUGUGGGCCAGAACGGGUCUGCCUGAUUAGUGCUGCACCAGGGAAGGGGGUCGACGUCGCGCCGAUUUAAACCUGCAUUGGGGCGAUCACACAAGCCACACAUGAGCAGCAAAACCAGGAUAAUCAAACAAUAUAUAAAGUUCACAAUCAGGCAAUAACAAAUAAGAUUAUAUGGACAAACUAGAGGAUAUUACUUCAAGUGGCUGCACCAAGGAAACCAGAAUGCAGCUGAAGCAGGAGCAGAUAGCUUAAUUCAGAGAGGUUUUUUUUGUUUGGGGGGGCACUAUUAGCAGGAGCAGGAAUGGCAGUUGUUGUGGUAGGCGCAGGUCCGGCGGUGGAUUGAUCCUGGGAUGCAGCAGGUGUUAUAACUUCAGUAGAAUACGCUGUAGGCUGCCCAUAGCUACCAGUACCAUAACAAUCACAGUAUGACUGCUACUAGCGAUAGCGUGGCUGACUGUAUCCAUACUGCCCCUAACCAGCCUUAGUAGGCGGUGCCUGUCCAUACGGAGCAGAUGAAGGCGGCUUCUGAGCAUACGGAGGCUACCCAUAAGCACCCUGGCCAUACGUGCCCAGUGGUGGUGGCUGCAUAUCAUAGCCAGGCUGUGUCUGUGGAGCAACGUAUCCAUAUUGAGGGGCAAAACCUUGCGCCGUUUAGCUUGAUGCAGCAGCACUAGUAUAGGUGGUUGAUUAGGAUAACCCAGUUAGCCUCCAGUAGCUGGAGUUGAAGCUUGCUGCCUUGAAGAUGCUUGACCAGCUCCACCUGGACCACCGUAGCUCGGUGCAGUACCAUACCCUUGUGAAGCAUGAGUAGCAGGCUGGCUGUAACUGUACCUGCUAGCACCAGCAGGCACAACAGUUCCAGUGGCAGACUGUUAUUGUUGGGAUUGCUGCUGUUGGUUAUAGUAGUCAUAGCCAGUGCCAAGGGAAGCUGCUGUACCAUAAGGUUGCUGGCCAUACUAUGGUGGUGCACCAGGAUAAGCUCCAGGCUCCAUGUAAACAUGCUGUUGUGUUGCUGGUGCAUCAGGCGCGUCCCAGUUUGCCCGAGGGCAGAGAGGAUGGUAUCCCUGUUGGAUUUCUGGCAUGAUUGUGCAAAAAUAUAGUUUCACAUCAGAAUAGGUAUACAACACAACAUACAAUGUACCAUGCAGAACAAGUGCAAACCAGACAAAACAUAUCUAAAGACAAAACAAUGUAAUAUACUGUAAUUUCAGAACCACCAAGAAAAAUGGAGGGAUCAACUCUCGGAGCAAGAUUCUCAAGUAACAUUGGUGAUGCCCAUCUGGCGUCUACCAUGUGCAGAACUAUGGGACCUAAUGAAGAUCGGGCAGCUAGAUAAACACAUGUAUAU